This 253-nucleotide ribosomal RNA is filed under the name uncultured Bacteroides sp. RNAcentral's name for it is "partial 16S ribosomal RNA". It matches the Rfam family "Bacterial small subunit ribosomal RNA", at positions 524 to 776 of the family's 1533-position model. The record is from RNAcentral. Lineage: Bacteria; Pseudomonadati; Bacteroidota; Bacteroidia; Bacteroidales; Bacteroidaceae.
UACGUAGGGAGCAAGCGUUGUCCGGAAUUACUGGGUGUAAAGGGAGCGUAGGCGGGUUGUUAAGUCAGUUGUGAAAGUUUGCGGCUCAACCGUAAAAUUGCAGUUGAUACUGGCAUCCUUGAGUACAGUAGAGGUAGGCGGAAUUCGUGGUGUAGCGGUGAAAUGCUUAGAUAUCACGAAGAACUCCGAUUGCGAAGGCAGCCUGCUGGACUGUAACUGACGCUGAUGCUCGAAAGUGUGGGUAUCAAACAGG